GUCCACGGCAAAGAUGGCUCUGCUUCUGCUGAGCCUGGGGCUGAGCCUCAUCGCAGCCCAGGAGUUCGAUCCCCACACCGUUAUGCAGAGGAACUACAACGUGGCCAGGGUUUCAGGGGUCUGGUAUUCUAUUUUCAUGGCCUCAGAUGACCUGAAUCGGAUUAAAGAAAAUGGAGACCUGAGGGUCUUCGUCCGGAAUAUUGAACACUUGAAGAACGGCAGCCUAAUAUUUGAUUUCGAAUACAUGGUGCAGGGGGAGUGUGUGGCUGUGGUCGUGGUCUGCGAGAAGACAGAGAAGAAUGGGGAAUACUCCAUCAACUAUGAGGGCCAGAACACAGUGGCCGUCUCGGAGACUGACUACAGGCUGUUCAUCACCUUCCACCUCCAGAACUUCAGGAACGGGACCGAGACCCACACGCUGGCGCUCUAUGCACGGGUCCCAUAGCUGGAACCCUCCUUCCUGAGCAGAUUUGAAGAAACCUGCGAAAAGUACGGACUUGGCUCACAAAAUAUCAUCGACUUGACCAACAAAGAUCCCUGCUACUCCAAGCAUUACAGGAGCCCGCCCAGGCCUCCCAUGCGUGAGCUGCGACUCGGGACGGGCAGGGGGCUGGAUGGGGAGAGCUUGGGGCCAACGUCAGAGGCUGCGGGGUCCCACCCCAGGAGGUGCCCAUCCCUCCCCCUGGUCUGGGAACCGAACACAAGGUGCUUUGGUGAAAGAUGCUGUGAAAAGCAUCCUGGAGUCGGGGCAGUGAUGGGGCCUUCCAGGGUGGUAAGGUCUGAGCAGGAAGUGAGAUGGGGCCCUGUGUGAGUCUCCAGGGGCUGAUGUCACCAUAUGCGGGUGACUAGGACAACCAGGAUUUACUUUCUCACAGCCUGGAGCCCGAGGUCUGAAACCCGAGGUCCGCAGGGCUGUGCUCCCUCCACCAGCUCCCGGGAAGGGUCCUUCCUGCCUCUUCCGGCUGCUGGGGGCUCCAGGCAUCCCUGGCUUGUGGCUGUCACUCCAGCCUCUGCCUCUGUCUGUGUCUCCUCUUCUGUCUCUUCUAAGGACACUUGUCAUUGGAUUUCGGGCCCAUCUUCAUGCAGAAUGAUCUCCCGUCAAGACCUCAACUUCACACCUGCAAAGACCCUUUCCCAUCAGAUGCCCUUCACAGGCUCCAGGCACUAGGAAAGGAGCAUGUCCUUUGAGGGACACCACUCAGGUCACCACAGGCUCCUUCUCCGAGCUGCCCCUCCCUUCUCAGACAUGGUCCCAGCCCAGUAAAAACCCCCAGGGCCCCCUUCCCUUCCCAGAGCCUGAGCCUCCCAGAGAUACGCCUCUGAAGGCACCUCUGCAUUUCUGCACGAGGGUUCCUGAGGGUAAAGGAGUGGAUGUACCUGUGGUGCGUGGUGGCCCCAAGAUGCGGGUGAGAUGAGAUGGCAACCGGCAACCAAGGCCCUACCCCUCCCCUCUCCGCCCCUCCCCUCGCUGACCUUCCCCUCCCUGUCCCUCCCCUCUCUGCCCCUCCCCUCCUGUCCCCUCCCUGGGCUCAGCCACUGCCUUUGGGGGAAGAUGAUCAACAAUGUCACAGCUGAGGCAGGUGCCUGCGCCCCCGCCUCCAUGUUUUGGUGAAUAAAAGGGAGGUACCAGCCAA
RNA transcript from Homo sapiens (human), 1634 nucleotides. It is a transcript of the gene named lipocalin 9, with no coding region annotated. The transcript has 6 exons. The record is from RefSeq and is marked validated. Lineage: Eukaryota; Metazoa; Chordata; Mammalia; Primates; Hominidae.